AUUGAACGCUGGCGGCAGGCCUAACACAUGCAAGUCGAGCGGAAGAAGGGAGCUUGCUCCUGGUUCCAGCGGCGGACGGGUGAGUAAUGCCUAGGAAUCUGCCUGGUAGUGGGGGAUAACGUCCGGAAACGGGCGCUAAUACCGCAUACGUCCUGAGGGUGAAAGUGGGGGAUCUUCGGACCUCACGCUCUCAGAUGAGCCUAGGUGGGACUGGCUAGCUGGUGGGGUAAAGGCCUACCAAGCCGGCGAUCCGUAACUGGUCUGAGAGGAUGAUCAGUCACACGGGAGGUGGGACACGGUCCAGACUCCUACGGGAGGCAGCAGUGGGGAAUAUUGGGCAGUGGGGGGAAGCCUGAUACAGCCGUGCCGCGUGUGUGAAGAAGGUCUUCGGAUUGUAAAGCACUUUAAGUUGGGAGGAAGGGCAGUAAGUUAAUACCUUGCUGUUUUGACGUUACCGGCAGAAGAAGCACCGGCUAACUACGUG
Molecule: ribosomal RNA, 484 nt
Filed under: uncultured bacterium
Lineage: Bacteria
Description: partial 16S ribosomal RNA
Rfam family: Bacterial small subunit ribosomal RNA
Source: RNAcentral